UGGAUUAAGAGCUUGCUCUUAUGAAGUUAGCGGCGGACGGGUGAGUAACACGUGGGUAACCUGCCCAUAAGACUGGGAUAACUCCGGGAAACCGGGGCUAAUACCGGAUAACAUUUUGAACCGCAUGGUUCGAAAUUGAAAGGCGGCUUCGGCUGUCACUUAUGGAUGGACCCGCGUCGCAUUAGCUAGUUGGUGAGGUAACGGCUCACCAAGGCAACGAUGCGUAGCCGACCUGAGAGGGUGAUCGGCCACACUGGGACUGAGACACGGCCCAGACUCCUACGGGAGGCAGCAGUAGGGAAUCUUCCGCAAUGGACGAAAGUCUGACGGAGCAACGCCGCGUGAGUGAUGAAGGCUUUCGGGUCGUAAAACUCUGUUGUUAGGGAAGAACAAGUGCUAGUUGAAUAAGCUGGCACCUUGACGGUACCUAACCAGAAAGCCACGGCUAACUACGUGCCAGCAGCCGCGGUAAUACGUAGGUGGCAAGCGUUAUCCGGAAUUAUUGGGCGUAAAGCGCGCGCAGGUGGUUUCUUAAGUCUGAUGUGAAACCCACGGCUCAACCGUGGAGGGUCAUUGGAAACUGGGAGACUUGAGUGCAGAAGAAGAAAGUGGAAUUCCAUGUGUAGCGGUGAAAAGCGGAAAGAAAUGGAGGAACACCAGGGGCGAAGGCGACUUUCUGGUCUGUAAACUUGACACUGAGGGCCGGAAAACGGGGGGAGCCAACAGGAUUAGAUAACCCUGGAUAGUUCCACCCCUUAAACGAUUGAAUGCUAAAGUUUUUAGAAGGGUUUUCCCCCUUUUAUUUGCGGAAGUAAAACAAUUAAAGCAAUUCCCCCUUGGGGGGUAAGGGCCGCCAAGGCUUAAAAAUUAAAAGGAAAUUGGCCGGGGGGCCCCCACAAAGGGGGGGAAGCCAUUUGGUUUUAAUUUUGGAAGGCAAACGGGAAAAGAAACCUUUUCCCCAGGUUUUUGCAUUCUUUUUACCAACCUAAGGAUAAGGUUUUUCUUUCGGGGACAAAAGGACCAGUGGUCCUUGGUUUUGUUAACCCCGGGUCCUUAAAAGGUUGGUUAAUUCCCCCACGAAGGCACCCUUAUUUUAGUUGGCCACCAUUAAUUGGGCAAUUUUAGGGGGCCGCCGGUUACCAAACGGAAGAAGGGUGGGGAGAGUUCAAUUAUUCUUCCCCCUAUUACCUUGGGUACCCCACUUGUUCCAAUGGCGGUUCCAAAAAGUGCCAGGACCGGAAGGUGAAGUUAUUUUAUUAAACCGUUUUUAAUUUGGGAUGUUAGGUGCCAAUUGCCUUCCAGGAAGCGGGAAUCGUUGGUAUUGGGGAUUAACCAUCCGCGGGGAAAUAGGUUCCGGGCCUUGGUACACACCGCCGGUCCCACCAGAAAAUUUGGUACCCCCGAAAUCGGUGGGGUACCCUUUUGGAGCCAGCCGCCU
Molecule: ribosomal RNA, 1438 nt
Filed under: Bacillus thuringiensis
Lineage: Bacteria; Bacillati; Bacillota; Bacilli; Caryophanales; Bacillaceae
Description: partial 16S ribosomal RNA
Rfam family: Bacterial small subunit ribosomal RNA
Source: RNAcentral